RNAcentral lists this ribosomal RNA (251 nucleotides) under uncultured prokaryote. RNAcentral describes it as "partial 16S rRNA". It matches the Rfam family "Bacterial small subunit ribosomal RNA", at positions 525 to 775 of the family's 1533-position model. The record is from RNAcentral.
ACGAAGGUGGCAAGCGUUACUCGGAAUUACUAGGCGUAAAGGGCAGGUAGGUGGUUCGGUAAGUCUGUUGUGUAAGCUCCUGGCUUAACUGGGAGAGGUCAACGGAAACUGCCGAGCUUGAGUAUAGGAGAGGGUACUGGAAUUCCCGGUGUAGCGGUGAAAUGCGCAGAGAUCGGGAGGAACACCAAUGGCGAAAGCAGGUACCUGGACUAUUACUGACACUCAGCUGCGAAAGCUAGGGGAGCAAACAG